This 723-nucleotide ribosomal RNA is filed under the name Vibrio sp. 12G12. Its description in RNAcentral is "bacterial SSU rRNA". It matches the Rfam family "Bacterial small subunit ribosomal RNA", at positions 33 to 735 of the family's 1533-position model. The record is from RNAcentral. Lineage: Bacteria; Pseudomonadati; Pseudomonadota; Gammaproteobacteria; Vibrionales; Vibrionaceae.
ACGCUGGCGGCAGGCCUAACACAUGCAAGUCGAGCGGAAACGAGUUAUCUGAACCUUCGGGGAACGAUAACGGCGUCGAGCGGCGGACGGGUGAGUAAUGCCUAGGAAAUUGCCCUGAUGUGGGGGAUAACCAUUGGAAACGAUGGCUAAUACCGCAUGAUGCCUACGGGCCAAAGAGGGGGACCUUCGGGCCUCUCGCGUCAGGAUAUGCCUAGGUGGGAUUAGCUAGUUGGUGAGGUAAGGGCUCACCAAGGCGACGAUCCCUAGCUGGUCUGAGAGGAUGAUCAGCCACACUGGAACUGAGACACGGUCCAGACUCCUACGGGAGGCAGCAGUGGGGAAUAUUGCACAAUGGGCGCAAGCCUGAUGCAGCCAUGCCGCGUGUGUGAAGAAGGCCUUCGGGUUGUAAAGCACUUUCAGUCGUGAGGAAGGUAGUGUAGUUAAUAGCUGCAUYAUUUGACGUUAGCGACAGAAGAAGCACCGGCUAACUCCGUGCCAGCAGCCGCGGUAAUACGGAGGGUGCGAGCGUUAAUCGGAAUUACUGGGCGUAAAGCGCAUGCAGGUGGUUUGUUAAGUCAGAUGUGAAAGCCCGGGGCUCAACCUCGGAAUAGCAUUUGAAACUGGCAGACUAGAGUACUGUAGAGGGGGGUAGAAUUUCAGGUGUAGCGGUGAAAUGCGUAGAGAUCUGAAGGAAUACCGGUGGCGAAGGCGGCCCCCUGGACA